CCCUUAGAUGUUCUGGGCAGCACGCGCGCUACAAUGGUCUUCGCAAACGGAUGCAUUCUCGAAGGAGAAUGCCAAUCUUGGAAUCUAUGCCUUGGUCGGGACGGUUGCUUGCAAUUUUUCGACUCGAACCAGGAAUUCCUUGUAAUCGUGAUUCAUCACAUCACGAUGAAUACGUCCCUGCCCUUUGUACACACCGCCCGUCGCUCCUACCGAUCGAAGAGUUAGGUGAAUUGUUUUGAUCGAUAAGAUUUGACUAUGGUUAACUCUCGUUGUGAAAUUCUGUGAAUCUGACUGUUUAGAGGAAGGAAAAGUCGUAACA
This 319-nucleotide ribosomal RNA is filed under the name uncultured eukaryote. RNAcentral's name for it is "partial 18S ribosomal RNA". It matches the Rfam family "Eukaryotic small subunit ribosomal RNA", at positions 1470 to 1796 of the family's 1831-position model. The record is from RNAcentral.